UUCAAUCAAUAAAUCAAUCACCAAUCAAAGUAACAUUUAUUUUCUUCGAAAUGAGAAAAAAACAAAAACAAAACGGUACAAUGUAAAGUAAGGUAAUUGAUUUGAAGAAGGCAUAGCCAAAAAAGCAACAGCUUGUAGCAGGCAUACCUGGACAAAAGACAAAAUCAAAUGAAUAAAUAAAUAAAUGGAAGAGUAAAUAAAAAGAAAUUUAAAAAGUAAUAAAAAUUAGAAAGUUUGAAAGUUGAAUAAGAUAAAAAAUCUUUCAGCAAUAUACUCUUUAAGUAAAUGUUUUUUUUAGCAUUGUAUUGUUUUCUUUAACUAAUUUUGCGAAUAUCGAGAGAAGCUAAUUCCAUGGUAGCCCCUUCACAACCUGUUCUUAUAUUCCCUAACGUGGUACGUAGCUUUGGUAUAGCUAAAUUAAACAUUAUUUUUAGACUUUGUAUUAUGUAAAUUUUUACACUUAGAGUGUGAGUUGUUCGGUUGUAAAAAAAUAUCGGAAAUAAAUUUAAGAACAUAAAGGAAUUUUAAGUUUGUGAAAUAGAGGGGGUAAAUGUGCUCUAAAAAACAGAAAAGUUAUACACCUAGCUAUAAUUCUUUGGAAAUUCAAGAUAGGAGUUCGAUAUGACACAAAAUUAUGUAUGUAAUGUGUAUGUAUGUGAUUACUUCCCCUUUGACCUCAAUUCCAUAAAUAAUAUUUGGAUAAAUAAAAGAACUAUAAAGCAUCACUGAAGUUUUCAUAUAAACAUAAUUCCAGCUUUUUCCUGAUUUUUUCAUUAAUAUUUUGAAAUGUGGGCUUUCCAUGUGAGAACGAAAAUACAACGAAAUAUAGGAACACUCAUGAAUAUAGGAACACUCAUAAAUAUAGGAACACUCAUACAUAUAGGAACACUCAUAAAUAUAGGAACACUCAUAAAUA
Molecule: long non-coding RNA, 916 nt
Organism: Anneissia japonica
Lineage: Eukaryota; Metazoa; Echinodermata; Crinoidea; Comatulida; Comatulidae
Exons: 2
Source: RefSeq, a predicted model, not a curated record